Molecule: long non-coding RNA, 1079 nt
Organism: Girardinichthys multiradiatus
Lineage: Eukaryota; Metazoa; Chordata; Actinopteri; Cyprinodontiformes; Goodeidae
Exons: 4
Source: RefSeq, a predicted model, not a curated record
UUUCCUAUCAGUGAAUGCGCCACACCUGUAUACUAGAAUGUUGCCCUGACAACAACAAUCUACAGUGUGGAGGUUGUUACUUAGGCUUUGCUGCAUUUUCUGUCAGCAAAAUGUUUAAAAUGAAGGUCAGAGGAAGCACAGAGAUGUGAGAGGCUUGGAGGGAUGCAGGCUGUUCAUCCGGGCUCACAUGGCAGGGAAUUAGACUUCAGCAGAUAUCAGGGCCGCCAAUCUGUGAGGUGCUGCGGCUGCGAUGCUUGCCGACGAUGGCCACGACGCGAGCGCUGAUGCUUGAGCGUCUCUUCUUGCUUCCACCGCUUACGGUGCCCAGCGCUGUGUCUGAUUGGCUGCCAUCUGUGCGCUCCUGCGUGUAGAUCUCACCGCUCACACUGGAGCUCUUCAUCAUGUUCCGGCCCAUCGAAGAUCGCAUCUGCCGACUGUAAGGAAGAGGACACUGCAAUAAUCUAGGAACUGGGAGCUGUGGAAGCUGCCGACCCCUGCGCCCAGAUAUCACCGUUGGAGAAGGGCUGCAAUGUGGGUGUGCUCUAACAAGAAGCAUCAAAAACACAAAAACAGACUUUUUCUGCUGCCCCACGGACAGUUUAGACUGGAUGAAUUAAUACUCUCCCUGUUUCGACAACCCCCCAAAAAAGAGGAAGACAAAGAAGAAGAGUAUGGAAAACAGCCACCCCUUAAAUGUGAGCUGAAUGUUGCCUGAAGAUACAAAACUAAUAAAGAUCCUACAACUUUAAAACUGAUGCUGAACUUUGUAAUAUAACUGAAAACUGCACAUGUAAACUCUUUUCUUUUCUCUAAUAACAAUGUUGAACUGAAAAAAAGUGCUUAAAAGCCAAAGUGACAGCAGGAUUUCAGCAGAGAAGCAGGCACAGCAGAAUAAAUUACAAAGCUUUAGAAUAUUUAUGGGAAAAAGGAAAGAAAAGCACCGAUCACAAGGUUUGUGAUGCUUUAUAUCAAGGUUGAGCUUUAAGCAGCAGGAAAAGCUUCCAGAAGGAAAAAUCAAGGAGGUUUCAGGAAGGCAAAACAGAAGCAAGGAGUAGGAAGACAGCAGAUGGGAAGGCAGG